GCGGAAGCGCCCCGGGCCCGCGCCGCCCUCGCGUGGCCGUGGCCGUGGCCGUGGCCGUGGCCGUCGGUGCGCUGCGCUCGCGCGCUGCCCGGGACGCAAGCCGCCGGAGCCCCGCUCGGCCACACCCUCGCCGCGCCGCCCUCCGGGCACCGCCAGCCCCGGCCGGCAGCCCUGCCCCGCCAGGCCCCAGCGCCACCCGGCCCCCGGGCUGCAGAGCCCCGCCCCCUCACCGUGCCCCACUCCGGACUGGCUGGCUCUGUCCCCCUCGCCGCGGCGUCUGUCUUCUCCUCUAACCAGCUCUCCGUGUCCUUAGAUGAAGACAGAGCUGACACCGAAGUCACUCGCGGAGUGACUUCCUGCGCUCCGCUCCGCAGGCAGCAGAAGGGAGACAGCAGGACCGAGGGCAGGCUCUAAAGCCCUUUGAGAUCUGACGAAGACCACAAACCUCUGCUCCAUGAAAGGGAUCGAACUCAUGACUGCCUGCCUUGUCUGCUGAGCUAAAUCCCCAGCCCCUACAGAUUGACUUUUCAAUGUUCCUCUUUGGUCUUAGGGUCCUAAGAAGUAGUAACUAUGGUUUUUAAAGAGGGUGGGACCCUCAAUUCAUGAAGGGUUCUUUCUCAUGCAUUGUGCUUCUGUGAGAACAAGGAAAGAUGUUAUGGUUUCUAAUGUGGUUUGGGGCACGCUCCUGAGAGUGGGAAGAUCAGUUGGGGGUCAGACUGCGAGGCUGCCUGAAAGACAGCAAUAUAGGGAAAAAGUCAGCAUGAAAUAGGAGAAAAGGAGACUGGAGGAAGUACCAAGUUUAGGGUGGGUAUGGGAGCUACAGUUGUGAACACUUGAGGAGCAGGAUAUUCACUGAUGAAGAAGCACCCAGGGGGGACACCAGAGAUGGAGUGGGACCACGUCGAGCUGAGCACACCGCACACACGGGGAAAGGAAGGGGCUGGGGUGAUUCCGGCCUCAUCUUCAGGGCAAAGAAUUAGCUGGUUCCCUUUCCUCCAUCGGUGGGCUAUGGGGGAAGAAUCAUUGCAUUCAUGUGCAAUUCUGUGUUAGGCAGCUCUGUGCUACUGUAAUAAAUACCUGAGGAAAUCUGUUUACGAAGAGAAAGGGUAUUGCCUCAUGGUGUCACCAGUUCCAGUCCGUGGUCAGCGGCACGUUAUGGGAGGGCCAUGGAAUGGAGUGGAACAGGUCGCUCACCUCUUAGCCAGGAAGCAAGACGGACACAGCGGGGCUCCAUCCAGGGCUCCCCUCACCGUGACCUGAAGACUUCCCUCCAGGACCCACCUGAACAAGAUCUUUUAGCACAGGCUGGCCUCCAAUUUACCGGGAUCCUCCUGCCUCGGUCUCCUGAGUGCUGGGAUUACAGGCAGGCCCCACCACACCUGGAUCCAUAAGCUUUUUGAAUCGAUGCAGGACAUAGGGAAAAACCCCCACUGUUGUGAACUUGAAACAAACACAAAUGUGAGAAAUGAAUUUGAGAAAAAAUUUAAAUGUACAUCUAAAAGAAGAGCAGAGGUGAUCACCAAGCUGUCUCGAGUAACUGAUGGGGCGGCUGACUGAUGGGGACACUAGCCAAGACAAAGACCAUUACUGAAGAAGAGAAGCCAGCCUGGGAAGAGCAGACUGUGAUUCAGUCUGAGAAAGGGGAAGACUGAGUGGCUUGAAGAGUAUUCCGUGGCAGAUUCCUUAAAUAACAUUUUUUCCGGAGUCCUAUACAAUAAAUGUACACUAUUCAAAGUAUGUGA
This is a long non-coding RNA of Cavia porcellus (domestic guinea pig), 1742 nucleotides long. RefSeq lists it as uncharacterized. The transcript has 5 exons. NCBI's taxonomy places the organism in Eukaryota, Metazoa, Chordata, Mammalia, Rodentia, Caviidae. The record is from RefSeq and is a predicted model, not a curated record.